GACGAACGCUGGCGGCGUGCUUAACACAUGCGAGUCGAACGGAAAGGCCCUGCUUUUGUGGGGCGCUCGAGUGGCGAACGGGUGAGUAACACGUGAGUAACCUGCCCUUGACUUUGGGAUAACUUCAGGAAACUGGGGCUAAUACCGGAUAGGAGCUCCUGCUGCAUGGUGGGGGUUGGAAAGUUUCGGCGGUUGGGGAUGGACUCGCGGCUUAUCAGCUUGUUGGUGGGGUAGUGGCUUACCAAGGCUUUGACGGGUAGCCGGCCUGAGAGGGUGACCGGCCACAUUGGGACUGAGAUACGGCCCAGACUCCUACGGGAGGCAGCAGUGGGGAAUAUUGCACAAUGGGCGGAAGCCUGAUGCAGCAACGCCGCGUGCGGGAUGACGGCCUUCGGGUUGUAAACCGCUUUCGCCUGUGACGAAGCGUGAGUGACGGUAAUGGGUAAAGAAGCACCGGCUAACUACGUG
RNAcentral lists this ribosomal RNA (468 nucleotides) under uncultured bacterium. Its description in RNAcentral is "partial 16S ribosomal RNA". It matches the Rfam family "Bacterial small subunit ribosomal RNA", at positions 28 to 507 of the family's 1533-position model. The record is from RNAcentral.